GGGAAUGACCUUGCUCAGUUGUAGAGCAUCUGCUUUGCAUGCAGAAGGUCUCAAGGUUCAAUCCCUGGCAUCUUCA
This 76-nucleotide transfer RNA is filed under the name Podarcis lilfordi (Lilford's wall lizard). RNAcentral describes it as "tRNA.Ala". The stretch from base 13 to 68 matches the Rfam family "tRNA", at positions 10 to 63 of the family's 71-position model. From Rfam's summary of the family: Transfer RNA (tRNA) molecules are approximately 80 nucleotides in length. Their secondary structure includes four short double-helical elements and three loops (D, anti-codon, and T loops). Further hydrogen bonds mediate the characteristic L-shaped molecular structure. tRNAs have two regions of fundamental functional importance: the anti-codon, which is responsible for specific mRNA codon recognition, and the 3' end, to which the tRNAs corresponding amino acid is attached (by aminoacyl-tRNA synthetases). tRNAs cope with the degeneracy of the genetic code in two manners: having more than one tRNA (with a specific anti-codon) for a particular amino acid; and 'wobble' base-pairing, i.e. permitting non-standard base-pairing at the 3rd anti-codon position. Lineage: Eukaryota; Metazoa; Chordata; Lepidosauria; Squamata; Lacertidae. The record is from RNAcentral.